AGUGAACGCUGGCGGUAGGCCUAACACAUGCAAGUCGAACGGCAGCACAGGAGAGCUUGCCCUCUGGGUGGCGAGUGGCGGACGGGUGAGGAAUACAUCGGAAUCUACUCUGUCGUGGGGGAUAAGGUAGGGAAACUUACGCUAAUACCGCAUACGACCUACGGGUGAAAGCAGGGGAUCUUCGGACCUUGCGCGAUUGAAUGAGGCGAUGUCGGAUUAGCUAGUUGGCGGGGUAAAGGCCCACCAAGGCGACGAUCCGUAGCUGGUCUGAGAGGAUGAUCAGCCACACUGGAACUGAGACACGGUCCAGACUCCUACGGGAGGCAGCAGUGGGGAAUAUUGGACGAUGGGCGCAAGCCUGAUCCAGCCAUACCGCGUGGGUGAAGAAGGCCUUCGGGUUGUAAAGCCCCUUUGUUGGGAAAGAAAUCCAGCUGGCUAAUACCCGGUUGGGAUGACGGUACCCAAAGAAUAAGCACCGGCUAACUUCGUGCCAGCCGCCGCAGUAA
RNAcentral lists this ribosomal RNA (506 nucleotides) under uncultured bacterium. RNAcentral describes it as "partial 16S ribosomal RNA". It matches the Rfam family "Bacterial small subunit ribosomal RNA", at positions 29 to 523 of the family's 1533-position model. The record is from RNAcentral.